This 481-nucleotide long non-coding RNA is filed under the name Homo sapiens (human). Its description in RNAcentral is "non-protein coding lnc-HSD17B12-1:17". The record is from RNAcentral. Lineage: Eukaryota; Metazoa; Chordata; Mammalia; Primates; Hominidae.
GAGGGUUUCUGCCUUUCGGAGGGUUUGGGGGGCUGUCGGUCCCGUUAGAAGGCCACCAACAGCCCCCCAGGUUGCCAAGGGCCUGUUAGUUGUGUUCCUGGAAGAAGGUGGAGUCUUUUCACUUCCUUGAAUCUGAGUGGAUCCUUCGACUGUUUUGACCAAGACUAUGUGGUAGAAGCGAAGUUCCAGUUCCAGGUAUUGCUCUUAUUUCACCUGACAAGUUUGGUUUCCUGCCUUUUGGAAGCUGACCACUAUGUUAGAAAUGUAAUCACCCUGAAAUCACUAUGUCGUGAGAAACCCAAAGGCAAGUGAAGAAGCCCUGGAGGAUGCGACAUCAAGUGUAGAGGCAAAAGAGCACCAAGGAAGAGGCCAAAGAACACUAAGUGAAGAAGCCAUUUUGAAAAUGGAUCCUCCAGCCCCAGCUGCCCUAGUUGUUACGUAAAUCAGAUAAAUUGCCCAGUGGUACCCUUCCCAAUUUCUG